AGCCGAAACGCCCGCAAGGGCGUCCGCAGGGAAUGACCUCCCUGCGCUGAUGAUGGCAGGUCACG
This 65-nucleotide non-coding RNA is filed under the name Centipeda noxia. Lineage: Bacteria; Bacillati; Bacillota; Negativicutes; Selenomonadales; Selenomonadaceae. The record is from RNAcentral.